This 261-nucleotide long non-coding RNA is filed under the name Actinidia chinensis (golden kiwifruit). RNAcentral's name for it is "long non-coding RNA (ACHI_LNC002403)". Lineage: Eukaryota; Viridiplantae; Streptophyta; Magnoliopsida; Ericales; Actinidiaceae. The record is from RNAcentral.
AUGUCUAGAUUUAGAAAGAAGGCUAUUGGUCCCACGCCACGACCUCCACAAGGACGGAAGUUAUUGGAUCAUGUGUGGGAGAUUGUUGGGGAACACCUACACCCUCUCAACAAAAUCGGUUACUCACUUGACUGUAUGGUGGCUAGGGAUCUGGGUUACACCCCGUGGUCCGGGUUGAUGAGCGAUGACAUCGAUGCGUUAGGGAAAGAGAUGGAAUCCCAAAUUACCGGAUAUCUGAUUGAUGAAAUAUUGAUCGAUUUG